GGGUUGUGAGGUUAAGCGACUAAGCGUACACGGUGGAUGCCCUGGCAGUCAGAGGCGAUGAAGGACGUGCUAAUCUGCGAAAAGCGUCGGUAAGGUGAUAUGAACCGUUAUAACCGGCGAUGUCCGAAUGGGGAAACCCAGUGUGAUUCGUCACACUAUCGUUAACUGAAUACAUAGGUUAACGAGGCGAACCGGGGGAACUGAAACAUCUAAGUACCCCGAGGAAAAGAAAUCAACCGAGAUUCCCCCAGUAGCGGCGAGCGAACGGGGAGCAGCCCAGAGUCUGAAUCAGCUUGUGUGUUAGUGGAACGGUCUGGAAAGUCCGACGGUACAGGGUGAUAGUCCCGUACACCAAAAUGCACAGGCUGUGAACUCGAAGAGUAGGGCGGGACACGUGGUAUCCUGUCUGAAUAUGGGGGGACCAUCCUCCAAGGCUAAAUACUCCUGACUGACCGAUAGUGAACCAGUACCGUGAGGGAAAGGCGAAAAGAACCCCGGCGAGGGGAGUGAAAAAGAACCUGAAACCGUGUACGUACAAGCAGUGGGAGCACCUUCGGGUGUGACUGCGUACCUUUUGUAUAAUGGGUCAGCGACUUAUAUUCUGUAGCAAGGUUAACCGUAUAGGGGAGCCGCAGGGAAACCGAGUCUUAACUGGGCGUUAAGUUGCAGGGUAUAGACCCGAAACCCGGUGAUCUAGCCAUGGGCAGGUUGAAGGUUGGGUAACACUAACUGGAGGACCGAACCGACUAAUGUUGAAAAAUUAGCGGAUGACUUGUGGCUGGGGGUGAAAGGCCAAUCAAACCGGGAGAUAGCUGGUUCUCCCCGAAAGCUAUUUAGGUAGCGCCUCGUGAACUCAUCUUCGGGGGUAGAGCACUGUUUCGGCUAGGGGGUCAUCCCGACUUACCAACCCGAUGCAAACUACGAAUACCGAAGAAUGUUAUCACGGGAGACACACGGCGGGUGCUAACGUCCGUCGUGAAGAGGGAAACAACCCAGACCGCCAGCUAAGGUCCCAAAGUCAUGGUUAAGUGGGAAACGAUGUGGGAAGGCACAGACAGCCAGGAUGUUGGCUUAGAAGCAGCCAUCAUUUAAAGAAAGCGUAAUAGCUCACUGGUCGAGUCGGCCUGCGCGGAAGAUGUAACGGGGCUAAACCAUGCACCGAAGCUGCGGCAGCGACACUAUGUGUUGUUGGGUAGGGGAGCGUUCUGUAAGCCUGCGAAGGUGACCUGUGAGGGUUGCUGGAGGUAUCAGAAGUGCGAAUGCUGACAUAAGUAACGAUAAAGCGGGUGAAAAGCCCGCUCGCCGGAAGACCAAGGGUUCCUGUCCAACGUUAAUCGGGGCAGGGUGAGUCGACCCCUAAGGCGAGGCCGAAAGGCGUAGUCGAUGGGAAACAGGUUAAUAUUCCUGUACUUGGUGUUACUGCGAAGGGGGGACGGAGAAGGCUAUGUUAGCCGGGCGACGGUUGUCCCGGUUUAAGCAUGUAGGCUGGUUAUCCAGGCAAAUCCGGAUAAUCAAGGCUGAGGUGUGAUGACGAGGUACUACGGUACUGAAGUAACAAAUGCCCUGCUUCCAGGAAAAGCCUCUAAGCAUCAGGUAACAUCAAAUCGUACCCCAAACCGACACAGGUGGUCAGGUAGAGAAUACCAAGGCGCUUGAGAGAACUCGGGUGAAGGAACUAGGCAAAAUGGUGCCGUAACUUCGGGAGAAGGCACGCUGGUGUGUAGGUGAAGUCCCUGCGGAUGGAGCUGAGACCAGUCGAAGAUACCAGCUGGCUGCAACUGUUUAUUAAAAACACAGCACUGUGCAAACACGAAAGUGGACGUAUACGGUGUGACGCCUGCCCGGUGCCGGAAGGUUAAUUGAUGGGGUUAUCCGUAAGGAGAAGCUCUUGAUCGAAGCCCCGGUAAACGGCGGCCGUAACUAUAACGGUCCUAAGGUAGCGAAAUUCCUUGUCGGGUAAGUUCCGACCUGCACGAAUGGCGUAAUGAUGGCCAGGCUGUCUCCACCCGAGACUCAGUGAAAUUGAACUCGCUGUGAAGAUGCAGUGUACCCGCGGCAAGACGGAAAGACCCCGUGAACCUUUACUAUAGCUUGACACUGAACAUUGAGCCUUGAUGUGUAGGAUAGGUGGGAGGCUUUGAAGCGUGGACGCCAGUCUGCGUGGAGCCAACCUUGAAAUACCACCCUUUAAUGUUUGAUGUUCUAACGU
This 2209-nucleotide ribosomal RNA is filed under the name Klebsiella quasipneumoniae. RNAcentral describes it as "partial 23S ribosomal RNA". It matches the Rfam family "Bacterial large subunit ribosomal RNA", at positions 1 to 2228 of the family's 2925-position model. Lineage: Bacteria; Pseudomonadati; Pseudomonadota; Gammaproteobacteria; Enterobacterales; Enterobacteriaceae. The record is from RNAcentral.